Molecule: long non-coding RNA, 956 nt
Filed under: Glycine max (soybean)
Lineage: Eukaryota; Viridiplantae; Streptophyta; Magnoliopsida; Fabales; Fabaceae
Description: long non-coding RNA (GMAX_LNC001622)
Source: RNAcentral
GGGAAUGUGUGGAGAGGUAAGAGACCGGUGGUGAUGCUGUGGGCGUGGACUUGGUGGAGUUGGGAGAUGGAUUUGCAUUGCUUUAUUACUUGCAAGGUACGCAUUGAUCAUGUAACACUUUGUGUUGGAAACUCGUAGGAUUUCUAGUCAUGCCCGAUAACCACUCCGGCACGUCCACUUUCUAUCCUUAAUUACUAAUCGAAUUCCCACUUUUUAAAAAAUUAAUAUUUCCUUUAUCAUUUAUAUAAUAGUAUGAGUAUAUAAAUUUUCGAUUCAUAUCUCAUUGUGCAGAAGACACCACCAAGCUGAUCAUGGCAUGUGCUAGAUAAAGAGUAACAUUUCGUGUAUGUGGAUAAAACAAGCAAUGCCUAGUCAUUUCUUCGAGGCACUCUCUAAAAUCUUUCUUCAUUUGCAAGAUAACCAAUACUCACUGAUCAGAAAAGCAAACUCGAGGCUCGAACCAAGGAUUACUGUAUAGAGAACCAACUAAAGUGUGCUUUACCAAGCUAGGAGAGAAAUAAAGAAGUGACCACUUGACCUAACGGAAAUUAUUUUAUUACGAGGGGUUCCAAUAAUUGUUAUUCCUCUCCGUACGGAAUAAAAGCACUACUAUGAAAAAGUAGAGCAUUGGCUUUCUUUAAUUAUAGUAUAUUUAUAUGCCGAAUUUAGCAAGCCCCCAUCCCCAUGCAUACCAAUUGGAUGGUGCCAACCCAAUGUACCACAUUUUUAAAAUGCACAAGUGCUUAUCUACAAGCCUAUUCUCUCUUUACACUUGGCUCUUUUGUCCAUAUAAUUACUUUAACCAACCACCUUUUUAUUAUCAUACCAUUUUUUCCACUUCUUUUUACCUGUUUUUCAAACCCCUCUUCCCCAUACUUAAUCUUUAAUUAUCCUUUCUUGUCGGUCGUGAGAAGUGGAAUAACAGGCUCCAUGGAAUAUUGUGUAACAAAAUGCUU